This is a long non-coding RNA of Cyprinus carpio carpio, 1116 nucleotides long. NCBI's taxonomy places the organism in Eukaryota, Metazoa, Chordata, Actinopteri, Cypriniformes, Cyprinidae. The record is from Ensembl.
UGUGUUAAUUCGCCGCUGUGUUUUAAUGUAAAAGGCUGUAGUUUCUGUAUGUAGACUUUUUUCCCUUCAAGUGUUCAGAAGUCUCGCGCUGUCAGACAGGCUGCAGCAAAUAUUUCAUUUUAACACUCACAAACAUCUGAAUUUAGCUCUUGGUGUGUUCUAAUUGGCGGAUUGUGUGCAAUCGCCGUAAUAUUUUAUUUUUAAAAGGUCUUAAACAAGAAUAAACUCGUUUGUUGUGAGCUCGUUGAGACUGCACGCGCUGAUCGGAGCGGUGAUUUAUCUCUCGUCUAUCUGUCUGUUCUCUGGCCAUACAUCAAUUAUUAAUAAGCCCUGACCCGCUAAUAAUAAGAUAUGUUGGUUUAGCUUUAAAAGUGAAACUAAGCGAGACUCCUCCCUCUCAGUCCCGGGAAUUGCUCCUGUAGAGGCGCAUUUUCUCUCAGACAGUGGAAAGUCUCAGCACACAUACAUUCCUCACACAGAGCCAAAAAUCCAUAUUCAAAUCAAAAUAGCCGACUUUCUGUUGGUCGUAGCUAAUGACUGUAAAUUAGAAAGUUGUCCGUCUUAAUAAGAACAAUAUAUGUACCGAGUUUGGUGUCUGUAGCUAAAACUAAGCCCCCCACUUUUGACAAAAGGUGGCGCUAUAGAGUGCCUCCUCCACGCCCUUUUAUGACCUUUUUGCCAGUGUCUAGCUAUCAUUAAUACUGAUAUGUGUUCUGAGUUUCAUGAAAUUCUAAGCAUGUUAUCUGCCUCAAAAAUCAGAAUAUAUUAUACAGAAAAAAAUAUUCCAGUUUGAUAUGUUGCCAUGGCAACACUAUAUUAGAUAUCAAUAUCCCCUCAACAGUUUUACAUGGGCCGUGUUUUGUCAUUAUUCUGAUGAAGUUUGAAGCAAAUUGAGUAAAAAAAUAAGAUGCUGAAUUCAAAGCAUUUUGAAAAAUGACACACUUCCUGCUGCCAGUUGGUGGCGCUAUAAUUUUGACUCCUAAUAGUCACAUAUAUGCGAUCGGCAUCAUACAACGAACAAAUUGAUGAAGUUUAAUUAAAAAUCAGGAAAUGUAUGUGGAUGUUAUUAGACACUUCCUGUUUACUCAUUUCUCGCCAUAAUUUCAACGCCUCGCC